UAGAGUUUGAUUCCCUGCUCAGGACGAACGCUGGCGGCGUGCUUAACACAUGCAAGUCGAACGGUGACGACCAGCUUGCUGGUCUGAUCAGUGGCGAACGGGUGAGUAACACGUGAGCAACCUGCCCCUUACUCUGGGAUAAGCCUUGGAAACGAGGUCUAAUACCGGAUACGAGACGCACGGGCAUCUGUAGCGUCUGGAAAGAUUUAUCGGUGAGGGAUGGGCUCGCGGCCUAUCAGCUUGUUGGUGGGGUAAUGGCCUACCAAGGCGACGACGGGUAGCCGGCCUGAGAGGGCGACCGGCCACACUGGGACUGAGACACGGCCCAGACUCCUACGGGAGGCAGCAGUGGGGAAUAUUGCACAAUGGGCGCAAGCCUGAUGCAGCGACGCCGCGUGCGGGAUGACGGCCUUCGGGUUGUAAACCGCUUUCAGCAGGGAAGAAGCGAAAGUGACGGACCUGCAGAAGAAG
RNAcentral lists this ribosomal RNA (471 nucleotides) under Cellulomonas sp. KB26. RNAcentral describes it as "bacterial SSU rRNA". It matches the Rfam family "Bacterial small subunit ribosomal RNA", at positions 1 to 490 of the family's 1533-position model. Lineage: Bacteria; Bacillati; Actinomycetota; Actinomycetes; Micrococcales; Cellulomonadaceae. The record is from RNAcentral.